Molecule: long non-coding RNA, 1838 nt
Organism: Empidonax traillii (willow flycatcher)
Lineage: Eukaryota; Metazoa; Chordata; Aves; Passeriformes; Tyrannidae
Exons: 2
Source: RefSeq, a predicted model, not a curated record
UGUUAUCUUUAUGGUUAAAGAGGUUUGGGCCUCCCUCUGUGAUAUUUAAAGGGACCCAAAGCCUACUAAUUUUAAUUUCAGUGGCUGCAGCUAGCAAGUAGUGGGAUUUAUUGACCUUGAGAUGACAUGCAUGAAAUGACAAAGUAUGAUGGGGACUUUGUCACAUCUCUGUGUCUUGGUUGGACAGUAGCUGUGACGUAUAUCUCAGACUUUUAGAUGUGGCAUUUCCCUCCCCCGCCCUGAGGAUGGAUAUCAUCUGGAGGACACUGAUGCAGUAGAGGGUAGCAUACCCGGUCACUUGCACAAGAGGAAAAAAAAGAGGAAGAAAGAAACAAGAUGAAAGGAAAAAGAGUCUAGGCUGCUCAAGCUGCAGGGAGUUGAAGGUGUACAUCUCCUUUUUGACACCCUGGAUAUUCCCCAAACACGCUGGGCUGACUUAGUGGCCAUCUGUCUGAAUUGACUGUGUUGUCCUCGGCUCAAAUGACCACCCAGCCUGAACUCUGCAAGGGGGGGCUGCCUGGCUGCGGUUAGUUUCUUCCCCAAAUAGCUCUAAAGUGUGGCUUGCUGUGUGCUUUAAGUAAAAUUAUGCUACUGUUCAGUUCUCCACUUGAUUAAAAUAUAUCUUUCAGCAUUUAAAGGUGGGCAGCGACUUCCUGGGAUUAGAAAGGGAAGUGAACUGGUUGGAAAGCAGCAAGGAAAGAAGUUGUUUACGAGUAGUGUGAGGGCAGAGUAGUCUGUGUUGCUGAAAUCUGGGGCUUGGCCACAUUACUCAACUCCAGUUGCAGAUCUACUAAAUUCACUCAGAGUCCCGUUUUCUUUCUUAAUAGUACACACAGGGACAUUUUUACCAGAAGAGUGAUUCAUCUGCUGUGGUAUUCCAGAUAAAUUUCAGGAGAGCAAGGCUCCCUUGGGCUGACACUGUGAUCAUUUGCCUCAGGACAAAUGCCCUCCCAGCCUGUUAAGCUGGCUGAACACAGGCUUCUCAAGAUUUGGACUUUUUCAACAUGUAAGAUUUCACUCAGCAUAACAGUUUUUCUUCCCAUAAUAAAUGUUUUGAACAGCUUUGGAAGUCCUUGCAUUCUCACGAUUGCAGCGGGGUGCCAUUCUCCCUGGGCUUCAGCUGCUGACAGAGGAGCUCCGUGCAGGGUUCUUGUCAAGGAGAGGCAUCACUAUCCACGGGAAGUACAAGUAUUAUAAACUCUUCAAUACAGUCACUACUGAACAGGGCUGUGUGAAAUAAUUUAUAGAAAUGGAAGGCUUGGCUGUUUUCAAGGCACAAGGGUUGCAGUGGCUGCCAGCUUAAUGAAAAAGUGUCGUUCUAGUCUCUGUUUCUGUUUCAAAAAGAAAUAAGUUGAUAAAACAAACCUAUUUCAAGUCUUUUAAUGAGCAAUUGUUUAAAGUGAUAAAAACAUUUGCUUCCUGAAAAACUUAAUAGCUGAUUUAUUGCCUUUUUUUUUUUUAAUAAAUAAGUGUAUGUAUGGCCUAGAAUAUGCAAACAAGGUCUUUACAACCUCCAGAGUCAUUGGAGUGGACUGUAACAUCCCCUUACAAGUAGAGGCCAGGAUUUCUGGGGUUUGGCCCAGGCUAUGACACAGACUUGUUUUCUGCCACUAGCAAUUGAUAUCAUUCUCUUUUUUCUGUCAGAUGAGUAGGAUAACAUUCUCAGAUGCACUGGAAUCUAAUCAAUUUUUGUAAAACAUCUUAAGACCUUUGAAUGAAAAACAAUGUCUGUACAUAUUGAGUCUACUAUUUAUGAAAUUUUGAGCAUAUUUUCUGGCUCAAUAUAUUUGCAACUUUUCAGAAAUAAAAUCAAGAACAUCCCAGUUGAAAAAAAAAGA